GAUGAAGAACGCAGCGAAAUGCGAUAAGUAGUGUGAAUUGCAGAAUUCAGUGAAUCAUCGAAUCUUUGAACGCACAUUGCGCCCCUUGGUAUUCCAUGGGGCAUGCCUGUUCGAGCGUCAUUUGUACCUUCAAGCUUUGCUUGGUGUUGGGUGUUUGUCUCGCCUCUGCGCGCAGACUCGCCUCAAAACAAUUGGCAGCCGGCGUAUUGAUUUCGGAGCGCAGUACAUCUCGCGCUUUGCACUCAUAACGACGACGUCCAUAAAGUACAUUUUUACACUCUUGACCUCGGAUCAGGUAGGGAUACCCGCUGAACUUAAGCAUAUCAAUAAGCGGAGGA
Molecule: unclassified non-coding RNA, 338 nt
Filed under: soil metagenome
Description: partial contains 5.8S ribosomal RNA, internal transcribed spacer 2, and large subunit ribosomal RNA
Rfam family: 5.8S ribosomal RNA (bases 1-120)
Source: RNAcentral